CGCCUCUUGAAGACUAUAAGAGGUCCAGCCUGCCCAGUGACCCUGUUUAACGGCCGCGGUAUCCUAACCGUGCGAAGGUAGCGUAAUCACUUGUUCUUUAAUUGUGGACUAGUAUGAAUGGCACCACGAAGGCUACACUGUCUCCUCUUUCCAAUCAGUGAAACUAAUCUCCCCGUGAAGAAGCGAGGAUAAUAAUAUAAGACGAGAAGACCCUAUGGAGCUUUAAACAAUAUAACAAUUAUUAAACAGUAUUUAGGCUUCUGAGCCCGUAAAUCACCUAAAUAAUAUGUCUAUAAGUUUUUGGUUGGGGUGACCACGGAGCAUAACAAAACCUCCAUGCUGAAAGAAUUUUUAAGCUAAGAAUCACCUGUCUAAGCAUCAAUAUAUUGACAUCCAUUGACCCAAUACAUUUGAUCAACGAACCAAGUUACCCUAGGGAUAACAGCGCAAUCCACUUCAAGAGCUCAUAUCGACAAGUGGGUUUACGACCUCGAUGUUGGAUCAGGGUAUCCCAGUGGUGCAGCCGCUACUAAAGGUUCGUUUGUUCAACGAUUAAAACCCUACG
Molecule: ribosomal RNA, 565 nt
Filed under: Mertensophryne taitana
Lineage: Eukaryota; Metazoa; Chordata; Amphibia; Anura; Bufonidae
Description: partial 16S ribosomal RNA
Rfam family: Bacterial large subunit ribosomal RNA
Source: RNAcentral